UUCUCAGAGUUACAGGAUGCUUAUGAUUGACUAUAGCUUGGAUUUACGGGUGAACAGGAGGAUAAAUAGAGUGUCAUAGUAUCUGAUCAGAGAAUUGAAGAAAUUUAAUUUGUAAUUAUGUAAGGUUUUAUGAAUUAUUGUUGAAAUUAAUUAUUAUGGAUGUUAAGAUUUAAUGAUUUAUUUUGACCUUGCAUAUUCUUU
This 201-nucleotide long non-coding RNA is filed under the name Elaeis guineensis (African oil palm). Its description in RNAcentral is "long non-coding RNA (EGUI_LNC005476)". The record is from RNAcentral. Lineage: Eukaryota; Viridiplantae; Streptophyta; Magnoliopsida; Arecales; Arecaceae.